CCGAGCCUCCCCUGCUCUGGAGAAAAAGCAAAACCGACUCUUGAGUGAAAUCUGUGUCCAUUUUGCUUCCAGUCUUAUCAACUUGUGGGUUUCGAAGGGCUGGCGUGACAGGAAUGAAACACCGCCCCACUUCAGGAGCCCAAAUAGGACCAACACUGUGCCUGUUUGCAGCCAGCGCACUAUUGCUAUUACCUCCGCUGCUGCUGCCACGGUAACAGACUCCACCUAUAAAGCAGAAUCACCGUUACGUGAUGAUAAAGCUGACGGAGAGCUCAAUUCCUGCUCCUGAGAGAGCCCCUGCUGGGCACUGUAAACUGUCCGGAUGUAACGCAUGUCAGCUUGUUGCAUUCCACCACUUCCU
Long non-coding RNA from Syngnathoides biaculeatus (alligator pipefish), 361 nucleotides. RefSeq lists it as uncharacterized. The record is from RefSeq and is a predicted model, not a curated record. The transcript has 3 exons. NCBI's taxonomy places the organism in Eukaryota, Metazoa, Chordata, Actinopteri, Syngnathiformes, Syngnathidae.